UAGGGAAUCUUCGGCAAUGGACGGAAGUCUGACCGAGCAACGCCGCGUGAGUGAAGAAGGUUUUCGGAUCGUAAAGCUCUGUUGUUAGAGAAGAACGUUGGUAGGAGUGGAAAAUCUACCAAGUGACGGUAACUAACCAGAAAGGGACGGCUAACUACGUGCCAGCAGCCGCGGUAAUACGUAGGUCCCGAGCGUUGUCCGGAUUUAUUGGGCGUAAAGCGAGCGCAGUCGGUUCUUUAAUUAUGAAGUUAAAGGCAGUGGCUUAACCACUGUACGCUUUGUAAACUGGAGGACUUGAGUGCAGAAUGGGAGAGUGUAAUUCCAUAUGUAGCAGUGAAAUGCGUAGAUAUAUGUAGGAACACCGGUGGAGAAAGCGGCUUUCUGGUCUGUAACUGACGAUGAGGCUAGAAAGCGUGGGGAGCAAACAGG
This 429-nucleotide ribosomal RNA is filed under the name Bacillota bacterium. RNAcentral describes it as "Firmicutes bacterium partial 16S ribosomal RNA". It matches the Rfam family "Bacterial small subunit ribosomal RNA", at positions 355 to 776 of the family's 1533-position model. Lineage: Bacteria; Bacillati; Bacillota. The record is from RNAcentral.